RNAcentral lists this long non-coding RNA (491 nucleotides) under Vigna radiata. RNAcentral's name for it is "long non-coding RNA (VRAD_LNC013373)". Lineage: Eukaryota; Viridiplantae; Streptophyta; Magnoliopsida; Fabales; Fabaceae. The record is from RNAcentral.
AACAUGUUGGUAUGAGUUGAACUCAUUUUAACUUUGAUUGGAAUGGUUAUGAUAUAAAUAUAGGUAAUAAUUAAUUUUAAAAUGUAAUAUUGAGUCGCGGUAUUGUCAUCCCUACUACGAGACAAUACUUAAACUAUUAUAACUAAUACUUUAUGUGUUGUUUACUUUUAAAAGAAUAAUGACUUUUUUUGCUAAUGAUAAACACCUUUCAAUCACAUCUAGAAUAUUUUUCCCUCCCCCAAUUUCGUUCUUAAAAACCUUACCUUCGAAUUUCUACUACUUCUUUGUUUCCAAAUCUCUCCCUCCCUUUAGUUCACAACCCCUUCCUCUACAACAACCACCAUUGUGAUUUGGUCUACCCCAAUCUCCAUUGUUUUCAAAGUCUAUCAUUCCCCAAUAUCCAUUGAUUUCUCGUCCCCAAUCGCGAAUUUGUCUUUCCCUUUCUCCAUUGCUCAUAAGUCAUGGAAUGUUAGUUUCUUGCAGCCCUUUUG